Molecule: ribosomal RNA, 556 nt
Filed under: Thiobacillus thioparus
Lineage: Bacteria; Pseudomonadati; Pseudomonadota; Betaproteobacteria; Nitrosomonadales; Thiobacillaceae
Description: bacterial SSU rRNA
Rfam family: Bacterial small subunit ribosomal RNA
Source: RNAcentral
GGAGUGAGGGGCACCUGAUCACCAUUCGCGUGAGUGAAGAAGGCCUUCGGGUUGUAAAGCUCUUUCAGCUGGAACGAAACGGUACAGGCUAAUACCCUGUGCUAAUGACGGUACCGGCAGAAGAAGCACCGGCUAACUACGUGCCAGCAGCCGCGGUAAUACGUAGGGUGCGAGCGUUAAUCGGAAUUACUGGGCGUAAAGCGUGCGCAGGCGGAUUGUUAAGCAAGAUGUGAAAUCCCCGGGCUUAACCUGGGAAUGGCAUUUUGAACUGGCAGUCUAGAGUGCGUCAGAGGGGGGUGGAAUUCCACGUGUAGCAGUGAAAUGCGUAGAGAUGUGGAGGAACACCAAUGGCGAAGGCAGCCCCCUGGGAUGACACUGACGCUCAUGUACGAAAGCGUGGGUAGCAAACAGGAUUAGAUACCCUGGUAGUCCACGCCCUAAACGAUGUCAACUGGUUGUUGGGGGAGUGAAAUCCCUUAGUAACGAAGCUAACGCGUGAAGUUGACCGCCUGGGGAGUACGGUCGCAAGAUUAAAACUCAAGAAUUUUGUGCCGGA